CCUGACACCGACACGAGAGCGACUGCGCAUGUGCGAGCGGCGCACGCAAGCGCUACUGUACUGAGUGAGAUUCUUGGUUAGCUUAGCCUGUCCUAUCCAAGUAGCCCAGCACUCUGGGGUUACUCGUCCUAUCCCGAAGCGUGUGAGCUGAAGGAGAGUGGACGGGCUCGUGAAGAUGACUUCUAUGUUGAGGAAGUCAUCCCAAAAACAAAAUAGUGAAAUACCGUAUACAAUACAAAGCCAAUAUAAUAAAAAUUAUAAAAAUAUUAAAAUAAAUAAAUACAUUUUUAUAUAUUUAAUUAUUUUUAUCCAUAUAAUUUUUUUUUUUUUUUAAUUUAUAUAUUAUUUAUAUAUUACAUAACUGGAUCUCUGAGAAACUGAGAAAUGUUGCAUUGGCAAUUGAUUUACCUCGUACUUUUUGUUUAAUAGUAAUUUUAUGUGCUUUAAAAAAAUCUUUCUAUUCAUUUUUUUGUUUGUUUGUUUAAUUCAGUUCUAACUCAGUAAUUUUAGUACGUUAACUUAUUUUCACAGCAGCUUUUCCCAGUGCAUUGGUUUGCUUUAGCAGACUCUCCUGACAUGCACACGUGUGUUAUGCUCAGAUUCCCAGCACUCUCAUGCUUCUGUGUGUGUGUCCUCACUGACAUAACAUUGGAGAGUGUGUGAACUUGUGUUAAAUGUUGAUCUUCUGGAUGUGGUGUGUGUGUGUAUGUGUGUGUGUGCAGUACUGGAGCAGCGUGAGGAUCAGAUGCAGGGUUUGGCCUGGAAGGAGGACGGAUCUCUGCUGGCUUCAUCCUGCAAGGAGAAGAAGCUGCGUCUCUUCGACCCUCAGCCUCUCACACUGAGACUUACUCCUCACAGAGCGGCUUGUUUUCUGACCACAUCCAGCUGGCACCGCAGGAGCCCCCCAUUAACAUCACAUUCACUCCAGCGCCUUUAAUGAGCCGACACGGGCCAAGCCAAACAAAACCCAGCCUGACAGGCCUCUGUUUACUCACAAAGAGCCACUGACAGCUCCACGGCGCUGAAGCACGGGCCGCAGUGUAAACAGACUCCAGCUCAAGGCCAAAGCAGAGCCUGUAAAACAACGCUUUCAUGAACACCGUCCGUUCAUGGAGCGAGCGCCAUUCUUCGACAGGUGGGGUAAAAAUAGAGGCUAAUUGUAUGUGGUAUUUAGGAAACGGUGUAAUUUGCGCUUUUGGACGGCACGAGCGCGAUCUGUAAUCAGCGCUCGCGCACGCUCGAGCACACGGCUGUAUUUAGGUGGCUGGCACGAGCGCCUGUGCUCCAAACUGUGGUUUCCAGAGCCGCUCGCUUUGAGAUUUCCUGCUGCGUCUUGAUUUUUAGAUGAUAAAUGCAUAUUUAGGGGCCUCACUCGCACCAAACCGCUCCGAGCUCAGACUAGUUUUUGUUUUUAGACUCUGGCUUGUGGUUUGUGCAUCUCUAACCUCCUCAUCACCGUGAGAUGCAGCUAUCCAUUUUUAGUUCGGUUUUAGAUUUAAUAAACAAGAUACACACUAUAUCGACAGCAUUUCUGACAUUAUUUCUG
This 1546-nucleotide long non-coding RNA is filed under the name Carassius auratus (goldfish). RNAcentral's name for it is "lncRNA (ENSCARG00000067139.1)". The record is from RNAcentral. Lineage: Eukaryota; Metazoa; Chordata; Actinopteri; Cypriniformes; Cyprinidae.